GAAAAGCAGUACUAACUAUGGCAAUCAUAUACAAAGAAGCUAUCAUUGAUCCAGUUACUCGAGAUCAUUAUAUACACAAUCCAUUAGGCCCGGUGACCACAUUCUGUACUGUUAACAGUGGGUUAAAAAAUUCUGCUCACAAAAAUUUUUAUACUGCCAUUUUUACGUCGGUCCUUAAGACGAUGUAGUGAUGACUAUUUCAAUGAAACUUACUAAAAAAGUUUUAUUCAAUGCAAUAGCCCAGAUAUUUGUUAAUUUUUUUUUUUUAAUUACUAAUUUUAAUUUAUGUUCUAUUUAGUAUAUAUAUCCAUAUUAUUUAGUAUAAGGACUUUAAAUAGUACAUUUACAAUCAAGCGUAAAUAAAGUGUUUCAUUCAAAUACA
Long non-coding RNA from Rhopalosiphum padi (bird cherry-oat aphid), 382 nucleotides. RefSeq lists it as uncharacterized. NCBI's taxonomy places the organism in Eukaryota, Metazoa, Arthropoda, Insecta, Hemiptera, Aphididae. The record is from RefSeq and is a predicted model, not a curated record. The transcript has 3 exons.